Molecule: ribosomal RNA, 458 nt
Filed under: uncultured marine microorganism
Description: bacterial SSU rRNA
Rfam family: Bacterial small subunit ribosomal RNA
Source: RNAcentral
UGGGGAAUUUUCCGCAAUGGGCGAAAGCCUGACGGAGCAAUACAGCGUGAGGGAGGAAUGCCUUUGGGUUGUAAACCUCUUUUCUCAGGGAAGAAGAUCUGACGGUACCUGAGGAAUAAGUAUCGGCUAACUCCGUGCCAGCAGCCGCGGUAAUACGGAGGAUGCAAGCGUUAUCCGGAAUCAUUGGGCGUAAAGCGUCCGCAGGUGGUUUCCAAAGUCUGCUGUUAAAGACUGGAGCUCAACUCCGGAACGGCGGUGGAAACUUGGAAACUAGAGUUCGGUAGGGGUAGCAGGAAUUCCCAGUGUAGCGGUGAAAUGCGUAGAUAUUGGGAAGAACAUCGGUGGCGAAGGCGUGCUACUGGACCGUAACUGACACUCAGGGACGAAAGCUAGGGGAGCGCAAGGGAUUAGAUACCCCUGUAGUCCUAGCUGUAAACGANGGAAACUAGGUGUGGCUU